Molecule: ribosomal RNA, 485 nt
Filed under: uncultured bacterium
Lineage: Bacteria
Description: partial 16S ribosomal RNA
Rfam family: Bacterial small subunit ribosomal RNA
Source: RNAcentral
GAUGAACGCUAGCGGCAGGCCUAAUACAUGCAAGCCAAGGGCUGUUUGGUGUAGCACUACCUCAAACAACCGGCGGACGGGUGCGUAACGCGUAUGCAACCUACCCUAUACAGGAGGAUAGCCCUCGGAAACGAGGAUUAAUACUCCAUAAGAUUGCUUAGAGGCAUCUUUAAGCAAUUAAAGCCGCAAGGCGGUAUAGGAUGGGCGUGCGUCCGAUUAGCUAGUUGGUGAGGUAACGGCUCACCAAGGCGAUGAUCGGUAGGGGUUCUGAGAGGAAGAUCCCCCACACGGGCACUGAGACACGGGCCCGACUCCUACGGGAGGCAGCAGUAAGGAAUAUAGGACGAUGGGUGAAAGCCUGAUCCAGCCAUGCCGCGUGCAGGAAGAAGGCCCUAUGGGUAGUAAACUGCUUUUGAGAGGGAGAAAUAAGGGCGAGGCGUCGCUCGAUGAUAGUACUUCACGAAUAAGCAUCGGCUAACUUCGUG